RNAcentral lists this ribosomal RNA (395 nucleotides) under Salmonella enterica subsp. enterica. Its description in RNAcentral is "bacterial SSU rRNA". It matches the Rfam family "Bacterial small subunit ribosomal RNA", at positions 997 to 1392 of the family's 1533-position model. The record is from RNAcentral. RNAcentral also lists the same sequence under 1 other name. Lineage: Bacteria; Pseudomonadati; Pseudomonadota; Gammaproteobacteria; Enterobacterales; Enterobacteriaceae.
UUUCCAGAGAUGGAUUGGUGCCUUCGGGAACUGUGAGACAGGUGCUGCAUGGCUGUCGUCAGCUCGUGUUGUGAAAUGUUGGGUUAAGUCCCGCAACGAGCGCAACCCUUAUCCUUUGUUGCCAGCGAUUAGGUCGGGAACUCAAAGGAGACUGCCAGUGAUAAACUGGAGGAAGGUGGGGAUGACGUCAAGUCAUCAUGGCCCUUACGACCAGGGCUACACACGUGCUACAAUGGCGCAUACAAAGAGAAGCGACCUCGCGAGAGCAAGCGGACCUCAUAAAGUGCGUCGUAGUCCGGAUUGGAGUCUGCAACUCGACUCCAUGAAGUCGGAAUCGCUAGUAAUCGUGGAUCAGAAUGCCACGGUGAAUACGUUCCCGGGCCUUGUACACACCG